AAUUGGAGGGCAAGUCUGGUGCCAGCAGCCGCGGUAAUUCCAGCUCCAAUAGCGUAUAUUAAAGUUGUUGCAGUUAAAAAGCUCGUAGUUGAAUUUCGGGAUCAAUAUUUCGGUCAUGCCGUUGGUAUGCACUGUUAUCAUUGAUUUCUCACCUUCUAAAGAACCGUAAUGCCAUUAAUUUGGUGUUACGGGGAAUUAGGACUGUUACCUUGAAAAAAUUAGAGUGUUUAAAGCAGGCUCACGCUUGAAUACAUUAGCAUGGAAUAAUGAAAUAGGACAUCCGAUUCUAUUUUGUUGGUUUCUAGGAUCGAUGUAAUGAUUAAUAGGGAUAGUUGGGGGCAUUAGUAUUCAAUUGUCAGAGGCGAAAUUCUUGGAUUUAUUGAAGACUAACUACUGCGAAAGCAUUUGCCAAGGAUGUUUUCAUUAAUCAAGAACGAAAGUUAGGGGAUCGAAGACGAUCAGAUACCGUCGUAGUCUUAACCAUAAACUAUGCCGACUAGGGAUCGGAUGAUGUUAAUUUUUUAAUGACUCAUUCGGCGCCUUACGGGAAACCAAAGUGU
Molecule: ribosomal RNA, 560 nt
Filed under: uncultured Glomus
Lineage: Eukaryota; Fungi; Glomeromycota; Glomeromycetes; Glomerales; Glomeraceae
Description: SSU rRNA
Rfam family: Eukaryotic small subunit ribosomal RNA
Source: RNAcentral